Molecule: ribosomal RNA, 425 nt
Filed under: uncultured bacterium
Lineage: Bacteria
Description: bacterial SSU rRNA
Rfam family: Bacterial small subunit ribosomal RNA
Source: RNAcentral
GGAAUUGUUCGCAAUGGGCGCAAGCCUGACGACGCAACGCCGCGUGGAGGAUGAAGAUCUUCGGGUCGUAAACUCCUGUCGAGCGGGACGAAUGGCCCGCGACCUAAUACGUCGCGGGAGUGACGGUACCGCGAGAGGAAGCCCCGGCUAACUCCGUGCCAGCAGCCGCGGUAAUACGGGGGGGGGCAAGCGUUGUUCGGAAUUACUGGGCGUAAAGGGCUCGUAGGUGGCCAACUAAGUCAGUUGUGAAAUCCCUCGGCUCAACCGAGGAAUUGCGUCUGAUACUGGAUGGCUUGAAUCCGGGAGAGGGAUGCGGAAUUCCAGGUGUAGCGGUGAAAUGCGUAGAUAUCUGGAGGAACACCGGUGGCGAAGGCGGCAUCCUGGACCGGUAUUGACACUGAGGAGCGAAAGCCAGGGGAGCAAAC